RNAcentral lists this ribosomal RNA (465 nucleotides) under uncultured bacterium. RNAcentral's name for it is "partial 16S ribosomal RNA". It matches the Rfam family "Bacterial small subunit ribosomal RNA", at positions 330 to 792 of the family's 1533-position model. The record is from RNAcentral.
ACCAGACUCCUACGGGAGGCAGCAGUGAGGAAUAUUGGUCAAUGGCCGGAAGGCUGAACCAGCCAAGCCGCGUGAAGGACGAAGGUGCCAAGCAUUGUAAACUUCUUUUGUCAAGGGACAAAAUCAGGCUCGAGAGCCUGACCGAGGGUACUUGAAGAAAAAGCAUCGGCUAACUCCGUGCCAGCAGCCGCGGUAAUACGGAGGAUGCGAGCGUUAUCCGGAUUUACUGGGUGUAAAGGGAGCGCAGGCGGCGCGUUAAGCCUGGUGUGAAAGCCCGCGGCCCAACCGCGGGACUGCAUUGGGAACUGGCGCGCUGGAGUGCCGGAGGGGUAGGCGGAAUUCCUAGUGUAGCGGUGAAAUGCGUAGAUAUUAGGAGGAACACCAGUGGCGAAGGCGGCCUACUGGACGGUGACUGACGCUGAGGCUCGAAAGCGUGGGGAGCAAACAGGAUUAGAUACCCCCGUA